RNAcentral lists this ribosomal RNA (468 nucleotides) under uncultured bacterium. RNAcentral describes it as "partial 16S ribosomal RNA". It matches the Rfam family "Bacterial small subunit ribosomal RNA", at positions 28 to 507 of the family's 1533-position model. The record is from RNAcentral.
GACGAACGCUGGCGGCGUGCUUAACACAUGCAAGUCGAACGGAAAGGCCCUGCUUUUGUGGGGUGCUCGAGUGGCGAACGGGUGAGUAACACGUGAGUAACCUGCCCUUGACUUUGGGAUAACUUCAGGAAACUGGGGCUAAUACCGGAUAGGAGCUCCUGCUGCAUGGUGGGGGUUGGAAAGUUUCGGCGGUUGGGGAUGGACUCGCGGCUUAUCAGCUUGUUGGUGGGGUAGUGGCUUACCAAGGCUUUGACGGGUAGCCGGCCUGAGAGGGUGACCGGCCACAUUGGGACUGAGAUGCGACCCGGACUCCUACGGGAGGCAGCAGUGGGGAAUAUUGCACGAUGGGCGGAGUCCUGAUGCAGCAACGCCGCGUGCGGGAUGACGGCCUUCGGGUUGUAAACCGCUUUCGCCUGUGACGAAGCGUGAGUGACGGUAAUGGGUAAAGAAGCACCGGCUAACUACGUG